This 492-nucleotide ribosomal RNA is filed under the name uncultured bacterium. RNAcentral's name for it is "partial 16S ribosomal RNA". It matches the Rfam family "Bacterial small subunit ribosomal RNA", at positions 29 to 507 of the family's 1533-position model. The record is from RNAcentral.
AGUGAACGCUGGCGGUAGGCCUAACACAUGCAAGUCGAACGGCAGCACAGUAAGAGCUUGCUCUUACGGGUGGCGAGUGGCGGACGUGUGAGGAAUACAUCGUACUCUACUUUUUCGUGGGGGAUAACGUAGGUAAACUUACGCUAAUACCGCAUACGCCCUACGGGUGAAAGCAGGGGAUCUUCGGACCUUGCGCGAUUGAAUGCGCCGAUGUCGGAUUAGCUAGUUGGCGGGGUAAAGGCCCACCAAGGCGACGAUCCGUAGCUGGUCUGAGAGGAUGAUCAGCGACACUGGAACGGAGACACGGUCCAGACGACUACGAGAGGCAGCAGAGGGGAAUAUUAGACAAUGGGCGCGAGCCUGAUCCAGCCAGACCGCGUGGGUGGAGAAGGCCUUCGGGUUGUAAAGCCCGUUUGUUGGGAAAGAAAAGCAGCAGGUUAAUACCCAGCGGUUGUGACGGUACCCAAAGAAUAAGCACCGGCUAACUUCGUG